Molecule: long non-coding RNA, 856 nt
Filed under: Olea europaea subsp. europaea
Lineage: Eukaryota; Viridiplantae; Streptophyta; Magnoliopsida; Lamiales; Oleaceae
Source: RNAcentral
UAUAUAUAUAUAUAUAGACACAAACUGCUCAAUGAAAAUUGUAUGAGAAUAGUCACAAAAAAAAAAAUUCUAAUUUCACAUGGUAUUUUGUCGAUUCCCGUAUUUUUGGAAAAAACUUGGGUUUUCUCGUUCAUCCCUUGAAUUCUAACGUGAAUUUAGAAAUUUCCCAAUCACGUGAAUUAUGUGCCUUUUACAUCUGUUACCUAUUUUAAAAAUCAUGAUAGUUCUAUAUUAUUGGUCUGAUUUUUUGCUUGAAGCAAUUUAUCAUAGUUUAAUGUAAUUUUUUCUUUAAUUAAAAUUUUUUGAAGAAGAUUAAAGUCUUAAAUGACAGUACAAGAAAUACAUUCUUGUGUUGUCUGCCAUUUACCAUGUGACUUGCGAAGCAUAUAAAUAUUGUGAGAGAUGCAAGAUUAUGAUGAUAUAUAUAUUGAGAUAUAGCAUUUCCAUGAUCUUGUCGUAUUUGUUGAAGUUUGGGCCACUAUAAUUUGAGUUCCUUGUGAACAUGCUGUGCUGUCUGUUCAAAUAUGAAAAUCGAGGUGAUCUGUCACAUUUAAAAAAAAAUAAAAAAAUUCAGUUUCUGUGGGAAACCGGUCAAAGGUAGGCAGGGGCUUCUACCGUAAAUAAUCAAUCUUUAAACCCCUGUUUGCAAUUAUCAGUUGGGGGGUCAUAUUGUAAUUACUUAAAUAAGGACCUGCCAUGCAAUUUUUAAUAUGAAGGACCUGAUCUUAAUUUGUAUUUAGUAUUAAAAUGGAAUUUUCAAUAAGGGGCUCUUAAAUUUGAAAUUCUAAACUUUUGACCCUAAAAUUUUAUUUUUGACCAAAUUAAAACUUUAAUUGAUAAUUGACCUGAUUAAAAU